Molecule: transfer RNA, 90 nt
Filed under: Kosmotoga sp.
Lineage: Bacteria; Thermotogati; Thermotogota; Thermotogae; Kosmotogales; Kosmotogaceae
Also listed under: 1 other name
Description: tRNA-Leu
Rfam family: tRNA
About the family: Transfer RNA (tRNA) molecules are approximately 80 nucleotides in length. Their secondary structure includes four short double-helical elements and three loops (D, anti-codon, and T loops). Further hydrogen bonds mediate the characteristic L-shaped molecular structure. tRNAs have two regions of fundamental functional importance: the anti-codon, which is responsible for specific mRNA codon recognition, and the 3' end, to which the tRNAs corresponding amino acid is attached (by aminoacyl-tRNA synthetases). tRNAs cope with the degeneracy of the genetic code in two manners: having more than one tRNA (with a specific anti-codon) for a particular amino acid; and 'wobble' base-pairing, i.e. permitting non-standard base-pairing at the 3rd anti-codon position.
Source: RNAcentral
GCCGAGGUGGUGGAAUUGGCAGACGCGGCGGACUCAAAAUCCGCUGGGGUUGAUAGCCCCGUGCGGGUUCGACUCCCGCCCUCGGCACCA